GGACGGGUGAGUAAUGCUUAGGAAUCUGCCUAUUAGUGGGGGACAACAUUCCGAAAGGAAUGCUAAUACCGCAUACGCCCUACGGGGGAAAGCAGGGGAUCUUCGGACCUUGCGCUAAUAGAUGAGCCUAAGUCAGAUUAGCUAGUUGGUGGGGUAAAGGCCUACCAAGGCGACGAUCUGUAGCGGGUCUGAGAGGAUGAUCCGCCACACUGGGACUGAGACACGGCCCAGACUCCUACGGGAGGCAGCAGUGGGGAAUAUUGGACAAUGGGCGAAAGCCUGAUCCAGCCAUGCCGCGUGUGUGAAGAAGGCCUUUUGGUUGUAAAGCACUUUAAGCGAGGAGGAGGCUACUUGGAUUAAUACUCUAGGAUAGUGGACGUUACUCGCAGAAUAAGCACCGGCUAACUCUGUGCCAGCAGCCGCGGUAAUACAGAGGGUGCGAGCGUUAAUCGGAUUUACUGGGCGUAAAGCGUGCGUAGGCGGCUUCUUAAGUCGGAUGUGAAAUCCCUGAGCUUAACUUAGGAAUUGCAUUCGAUACUGGGAAGCUAGAGUAUGGGAGAGGAUGGUAGAAUUCCAGGUGUAGCGGUGAAAUGCGUAGAGAUCUGGAGGAAUACCGAUGGCGAAGGCAGCCAUCUGGCCUAAUACUGACGCUGAGGUACGAAAGCAUGGGGAGCAAACAGGAUUAGAUACCCUGGUAGUCCAUGCCGUAAACGAUGUCUACUAGCCGUUGGGGCCUUUGAGGCUUUAGUGGCGCAGCUAACGCGAUAAGUAGACCGCCUGGGGAGUACGGUCGCAAGACUAA
Molecule: ribosomal RNA, 802 nt
Filed under: Acinetobacter sp.
Lineage: Bacteria; Pseudomonadati; Pseudomonadota; Gammaproteobacteria; Moraxellales; Moraxellaceae
Description: bacterial SSU rRNA
Rfam family: Bacterial small subunit ribosomal RNA
Source: RNAcentral